Molecule: ribosomal RNA, 258 nt
Filed under: uncultured bacterium
Lineage: Bacteria
Description: partial 16S ribosomal RNA
Rfam family: Bacterial small subunit ribosomal RNA
Source: RNAcentral
UGGCGGACGGGUGAGUAACGCGUGGAGAACCUGCCGUAUACUGGGGGAUAACACUUAGAAAUAGGUGCUAAUACCGCAUAAGCGCACAGUCUCGCAUGAGACGGUGUGAAAAACUCCGGUGGUAUACGAUGGAUCCGCGUCUGAUUAGCUUGUUGGCGGGGUAACAGCCCACCAAGGCGACGAUGCGUAGGGGUUCUGAGAGGAAGGUCCCCCACACUGGUACUGAGACACGGACCAGACUCCUACGGAAGGCAGCAG